This is a long non-coding RNA of Mauremys reevesii (Reeves's turtle), 807 nucleotides long. RefSeq lists it as uncharacterized. Lineage: Eukaryota; Metazoa; Chordata; Testudines; Geoemydidae. The record is from RefSeq and is a predicted model, not a curated record. The transcript is spliced from 3 exons.
AGCCCACCAGCGGAUUUCCCUGACUGGCCACGUGCCAAAGGUUGCUGAUCCCUGCCAUAGAUAUUUCAGCUGUGGAAAGUGCAGGAGACAAAAUAAAGAGGAACAAAAGCCGUACUGGACAAGAAACUGAACAUGAGUUCCAGUGUGAUGAUGUAGCAAAAAGUGCUACUGUUAUCUUUGGAUAUAUUAAAGGCUGCAGAGGCCAGAGGGGGAAGGAAAAAGAAAGCAGAGAACGGGUUCAUUCAGCUCUCCAGCUCGUUCAGGCAGAAGAUAAGGCACUGACUCUAACCCAAGGCUGCAGCUCACAGCUGACACGUGGCUGCCUGCCGAGAAGACGGGGGCCCGGAAUCCACCGACCAGCCAUGAAAAAGGACAUUUCAGCUGAACAGACCUGCAGAGGCAGUCCAUAAUGAGCAAAACAAGUGAAGGCCAGCACGGAGGAAAACAAAGAGGACAACUAAGUCUAGCCAGUGUGUUUUGGGAAAGUUGAGAAGAUCACAAAGAGCUGAUUUUGACUGGUACAAAGAGCAUCAGGAGCAGAGGUCCCUGAACGCAACACCCCCAAAGAAACCCAGGACUUUAAAACCCUCCUGAGAGCCGGAGCAACUCGGAGAUCACAGCGGACCCCGGACGACCUGGGCCCAAAACAAAAACUCCCAUCCACCGUUCCCCCCACUCUUCUUCCGUUACACCCAGGCUUGGCCAGCCUUGGGUAGUGCAUGUGUGAGUAUGAAAGUGGGUUAGGUCUUGGGACACUAACACUUUGCUUUUUCUUCCUUGAGUGAUGUGUGGGAUCCCCAGAACUCU